UCUUUUCGUUCUGUUCUGUCCUUCCUUCCUUUCUAUCCUGUUCUUUCUUUUUUUUCUCCUUACUCUUUUGUUCUUUCUUGUUUUUUCUUACUUCCUGUCUGCUCUUUCUUUCUUUUGUUUGGUUGUGUAGGUAUAGCGUGCACGCUGGUUUUUUGUCCAUCAUAUUUUGGUUCAAUUUUUUUUAGCAAAUUUUCUUUUGUUUUGGUCUUACGUUUUUGUGGCAGAGCAGAGGAAGAGGCCGAGCAACCCAGGGCAAAUUCUUCUUUCAGAGACGUGACGAGGAGGGCUUCAGUUCCCGAAACAUUGAAUCCGCCAAAAAGGGUGAAAGACAGGGAGGUUACAUUGGAGAGAAAGGUGGAGAGAGCUCGCAGAUGAAUGGAUGAAAAGUGAUGGAAAAGUUGGUGUAGCUACCAUAGCAGCAGUGCAAGAAGUCCAUAAAAUAGAGCAGUCAGAACAUAAAUGUUAUUUGAAGCUGGAUGACAGUCAUUGUAGCAAACAAGAAACCACAACAGAAAAAGCAAAUAGUGGGGUAUUAGGAAGGGAUGCUCAAAAUUAGUCGGAUGGAGAGCUUCAAGACUAUCCGAUGAUAAGUACAAAUCCAAUGGUCUUCAUUGCUGGUCCUAGGAGAUGGUAGAAAGAAAGCGGGACAUGGUGUAUGGUGGAAGAAGUGUUGGAGUAAUUGGAGUAAUGGGCUUGAUUUCUCACGUUGUUCAUGAUGGUGGCUGCCAUGUUCUUAGAUAUUUGUAGAUGCAGUUG
Cryptomeria japonica (Japanese cedar) is the source of this 756-nucleotide long non-coding RNA. RefSeq lists it as uncharacterized. The record is from RefSeq and is a predicted model, not a curated record. The transcript is spliced from 6 exons. Lineage: Eukaryota; Viridiplantae; Streptophyta; Pinopsida; Cupressales; Cupressaceae.